GAUCAUGGCUUAGGACGAACGCUGGCGGCGCGCCUAACACAUGCAAGUCGAACGAGCGAGAGAGAGCUUGCUUUCUCGAGCGAGUGGCGAACGGGCGAGUAACGCGUGAGGAACCUGCCUCAAAGAGGGGGACAACAGUUGGAAACGACUGCUAAUACCGCAUAAGCCCACGGCUCGGCAUCGAGCAGAGGGAAAAGGAGCAAUCCGCUUUGAGAUGGCCUCGCGUCCGAUUAG
Molecule: ribosomal RNA, 234 nt
Filed under: uncultured bacterium
Lineage: Bacteria
Description: partial 16S ribosomal RNA
Rfam family: Bacterial small subunit ribosomal RNA
Source: RNAcentral